AGCUAAAGCUUUGGAGGCCACUGCUCUAGCAAGACACUGUCUCCUCUUCUCCCUGGAGGCAUCCAGUGCUCUGGAGAGCCAGACAUGAGCCACCCAGGAGACACUGCUCUGCCCAGGGAAUGGUUGGCUCGAGUCCGCAGGUUCACCAAUGGAAUCCUGUUGAGGACGAGAAGAAAAAGAAAGAUUAAGUCAUGACAGGGAAUUUGCACCAUGUCUUGCUUCACUGCUUGGAUGAUCUCUCACAGCCUAGAGGUUUCCUCCUCCUUCCCCCUUGGCUGUGGAGCUGUGGAUUCCUGGGGGAGCGGGGUAUCAGUGACCUCCUCCUCCUUCUCUGCAGCUUCUGAAAGCCCCAAAGCCAGGAUGAAAUCAAGCCAAACCAGCCAUCCUGUGCUGUGGUGCCUGGACAAAGCCACUCAAGUCUUUGGCACGUGUCCUGUGCUGGUCUGCAGUGCUGUGGUGCUCCUGCCUCUGUCUGGGUGCUCCUCCAGCACCACUGCCACCAGGCAAGAGAAGUUUUCCUUUUCAUCUCUCCCUUCAGGUAACUCCUGAGAGCUUCCACUGACUGCUCCACUCCUCAUCUACCCAGCCCAGGGCUGCACUGAGGCAGCCACACCAGGCUGCAGACAGACUGACUUGUCUGCCUGCAGGAGCAGCUGCCGGCAACUGCUGCUGAGGUGUGACAUCUACCAAGGAGCUGGUGCUCCAGUGGGGCCCAGGAGCCAGCACAGGCAAUCUGCUGGAAAGCUCCACCAGCUGCUUGCCACGGGCAGCAUCACCUGCUGUGGGGAGGGACGGUGCCCUGGCAGGGACCACGCCUGCAGCACAGGAACCCUCCCCGUGGCUCCUGCUGGCGCAGGAGGAAUCUGACCCCAGGAAACAGCCUAAACAUCUGCUCCCUGUGUACCUGGAUGAGUUUCACCAGGUUUCCUGACACAACCGUGGCGCUGCCUGCAGCUUUCUGGGCUGGAGAUGCUCAGCAUCUUAUAUCUGCUGCCUCAACUGCUCAGCCCAGCCUGAUGAUGCUGUCAGCAUCACCCAAGGCCAAGUUGCCAGCUGGGCAGUCCUCACACCAGGGUGACAGACUGUCAGAUGUGAAGUUCAUAUUAAAUUCCAACUUGGGUCCCAGUGGUCAUCUCCACAAAACAUCUGCAGCACCUCUGUCCUGCCACCCCUGUCCUGGGACAUGUCACCUGCCUUGUGCCUCCAGCUCUGGCCCCAUACCAUGAGGAACACUAAUGUGCCAACAAGACAGCUCAGAGCUGUGAAGUGCUGUCAGUUAAAAUGUGUGCAACACUAGGAGAAAGGGGCUGUGAGGAGAAAGCUGCAUGUAGCCCCUCCAGCCAGAAAGCUGCACAUGCUCCAGAGCAUCCUUCUCCUCUGCUGUGGUGCAGUGGGUCAACAGCAACUGUCCCCUUCAGGUGACCUUGCUGCAGCUGUGGAUGCCAGCCAGGAAAUACUCAUUCCCCCGGAAGCGGUGCAGCCCAAGCAGCUGCAUCUCCUUUUCCACCAGCCUCUCCCUUAGAAACAAGAGCUGGAGAGGCACCCUCCGUGCCUCCACUCCUCUGCUUCCCUCCAUCCCACUGCUCCUCUGGCACUUGGCAGCUGGUGACAGCACAAGGCAACCACGGUGGCAGGGACAGCCUAGCAGGGAGCUCAUCUCCAUGCCAUCUGCACCUUACACAGUGACACAUGAGACUUGGAAUGCUCAUUUCACCUGAGGGAUUUCCCACCAGCACUUAUGCAAUGUGUCCUAAAAACACCCUGGUGGAAACACACCUGUGCAGAGUAAGCAUGCAGAGAACAGGUAGAGCAGGUUUGAGAUCAGUCUCAUUUUGUUAUCCUUAAUGAAACCAAACAGCAGCUUCCAGAAUUGCAUCUGCAAUUGAAGUGCCAUUACAGAGCUAAUGCUCCAGGUACGAGCCCGAUAGAUUUUUCCAGAGCGCGUCAAUGUGCGUUUUAUGGAUUCCAUGAACACGGAUCAAUGAGAAUUUCAAGGAUUUAAUAAGGCGUAAUGGAAUGGCUUCAGGCUAUUUAAAGAAAUCUAUGGAGGUGACCAGGGCACAGUCUUUGGCCCAGGGUUUCACAGGACCUGGGGCAGGAGCAGUGGGAUCCACACGGGAUUCCUACAGUGCUUCAAGCUGCUCCUUCCUUCCCUCUACCUGAGGCAUGGAAAGCUGUAGAUGGUAUAGAGUGUAGCUGGCUUGCUUUAUGUGUUAUUUCUUUUUAAUUCACUUUAAGCCAAUGGAAAGACUUCCCAAACUACAAAACUGAGGGUGGAAAAGGCCCAGUGGGUUAUUGCUGAGGUGGGUGUUCCCUGCAGAUCCUCCAUGCUCAUUGUCCUGCUGCCCUCACUCCUGGCACAAGCUCCUGCCUGGGCUCCUUUGCCCUCUGUCCCCUGAGACAAUGGCCACAACAACAGUCAGAGAAAAAACAUGAGCAUAGCAGUGGAUGGGGAGUGAGACCCUUUCACCUUCAUCAGUGAAGCAUCUGCAGCCAGAAGAGGCUCUGGGAGGACAGUGGGGCCAUGCCAGGUGAAUCCCUUCUCUCUGCCCCAUUGUGCUGGCACACACCUCACCUGCCCUGUCUAGACACCACAGCCCCAGCAUGGCCAAGAUCAUUAACUUUUUAUUCCCUUCCAUUCUAAUCUAAUUAUAUUUCUGUGUUCAAUAGCUGUGCAUAAUGUUAAACAGGCUAUUCCAAGUGAGCUGCAGCCAGGGAAGGCUGGAAAUUUCAUUUACACUGAAUAUAUGAUUCAUUACAGCAGGGACUUAGGACAGAGCAAUUAAUUCACCUGAGCACGUGGCUCAAGCGGGCACUGCUGCCCAGGGCAAGCUGGCACACACAGACUUUUCCUGCCACUGCUGUCACCUGUGCCACCUUCAAAAGUGACACAAGGAGGUGAAAACGGCUCAGGCCAACUCAACAAAAGAGAAGAAAAUCCCCAAAGAUUGUACUGUUGCAACCAGAAUAUCACUGUACUCCUUCAGUCACAGCAACACCCCAGGCAUGACCGGCUGCUGGGGACUGUGCUUGAAGGGUUGGCCUUGCAGAG
This is a long non-coding RNA of Passer domesticus (house sparrow), 3052 nucleotides long. RefSeq lists it as uncharacterized. Lineage: Eukaryota; Metazoa; Chordata; Aves; Passeriformes; Passeridae. The transcript has 3 exons. The record is from RefSeq and is a predicted model, not a curated record.